RNAcentral lists this unclassified non-coding RNA (174 nucleotides) under uncultured Chloroflexota bacterium. Its description in RNAcentral is "uncultured Chloroflexi bacterium partial contains 16S ribosomal RNA, 16S-23S ribosomal RNA intergenic spacer, and 23S ribosomal RNA". The stretch from base 61 to 174 matches the Rfam family "Bacterial large subunit ribosomal RNA", at positions 1 to 113 of the family's 2925-position model. The record is from RNAcentral. Lineage: Bacteria; Bacillati; Chloroflexota.
ACAAGCGCAUAAGAAGAAGAAAAGGGACGCGAGAAAUCACGAUUUCUCCGUAACACAUGUGGAGAAGCUACAAGGGCGUACGGUGAAUGCCUGUGGCGUCAAGUGCCGAAGAAGGACGCGGUACACUGCGAAAAGCUCCAGUGAGGUGUGUGCAACCGCAAGAACUGGAGAUCU